RNAcentral lists this ribosomal RNA (120 nucleotides) under Pseudochlorella pringsheimii. Lineage: Eukaryota; Viridiplantae; Chlorophyta; Trebouxiophyceae; Chlorellales; Chlorellaceae. The record is from RNAcentral.
AUCCUGGUGUUCUUGUUUUUAUGGAACCACGCUAACCCAUCUCGAACUUAGUUGUGAAACGGUAAAAAGAGUGAAAAUACUUAAGCCGUGGGCUUUGGAAAGAUAACUUAAUGUCAGGAU